RNAcentral lists this ribosomal RNA (360 nucleotides) under uncultured Sphingobacteriales bacterium. Its description in RNAcentral is "bacterial SSU rRNA". It matches the Rfam family "Bacterial small subunit ribosomal RNA", at positions 1024 to 1382 of the family's 1533-position model. The record is from RNAcentral. Lineage: Bacteria; Pseudomonadati; Bacteroidota; Sphingobacteriia; Sphingobacteriales.
GGGCUUUCUGCAAGGUGCUGCAUGGUUGUCGUCAGCUCGUGCCGUGAGUGUCGGGUUAAGUCCCAUAACGAGCGCAACCCUUAUCGUUAGUUGCCAUCUGGUAAUGCAGGGGACUCUAGCGAAACUGCCACCGUAAGGUGAGAGGAAGGUGGGAUGACGUCAAAUCAGCACGGCCCUUAUGUCCAGGGCUACACACGUGUUUACAAUGGUCGGUACAGAGGGCAGCUACCUGGUGACAGGAUGCUAAUCUCGAAAACCGGUCUCAGUUCGGAUCGAAGUCUGCAACUCGACUUCGUGAAGCUGGAUUCGCUAGUAAUCGCGCAUCAGCUAUGGCCGCGGUCGAAUACGUUCCCGGGCCUU